This 837-nucleotide ribosomal RNA is filed under the name uncultured bacterium. RNAcentral's name for it is "bacterial SSU rRNA". It matches the Rfam family "Bacterial small subunit ribosomal RNA", at positions 25 to 846 of the family's 1533-position model. The record is from RNAcentral.
UAGUGACGAACGCUGGCGGCGUGCCUAACGCAUGCAAGUCGAGCGGGGAUGGUAGCUGAAGGUGAUGAGCUGGAAGCUGCCAUCUUAGCGGCGGACGGGUGAGUAACACGUGAGCAACCUACCCUCAGCACGGGGAUAACAGCUCGAAAGGGCUGCUAAUACCCGAUGGGACCACGUCAUUGCAUGGUGAUGUGGUGAAAGGGUGGACGUAAGGUCCAUACCGGCUGGGGAUGGGCUCGCGGCCCAUCAGCUAGUUGGUGGGGUAACGGCCUACCAAGGCGACGACGGGUAGCCGGCCUGAGAGGGUGACCGGCCACAGUGGGACUGAGACACGGCCCACACUCCUACGGGAGGCGGCAGCGGGGAAUCUUGCGCAAUGGGCGAAAGCCUGACGCAGCGACGCCGCGUGAGGGAAGGAGCCCUUCGGGGUGUAAACCUCUUUGGACGGGGAGAAGUAGGAGAUAGUACCCGUUUAAAAAGCCACGGCUAACUACGUGCCAGCAGCCGCGGUAAUACGUAGGUGGCGAGCGUUGUCCGGAAUUACUGGGCGUAAAGGGUGCGUAGGCGGCCUGGUAAGUUGAGCGUGAAAUUUUUGGGCUCAACCCAAAAGGAGCGUUCAAGACUGCCAGGCUUGAGUGCGGGAGAGGACGGCGGAAUUCCCGGUGUAGCGGUGGAAUGCGUAGAUAUCGGGAGGAACACCAGUGGCGAAGGCGGCCGUCUGGACCGUAACUGACGCUGAGGCACGAAAGCGUGGGGAGCAAACAGGAUUAGAUACCCUGGUAGUCCACGCUGUAAACAUGUGGAUGCUAGGUGUGGGGGAGAAGAACUCUUCCGUGC